UCACAACCUUUUUUUUUAGAUAAGCAAAACUUGUAUUAAAAGGAGGUACAAGGGGUACCCCAACCCUUAAUACAACAAGGAAAAACAGAAAAGGUACAUAAAACAGAGGAUAAAUUGCUAAACCAGCAAAAGACACCAGCAGUUCAAAAAAACUUGGGCAAGAGUCCAGCAGGCUGGAUAAGAAAAACGGUCACCACCAACCAAGAGAGCAGCACCAUCCACUUAUAGUCCAUGAAUGCAAAGCAACGAGUUAGUAUACCAAGCAUAGAAUGAGUAAGAAAACUCCUUGACCUUUACUUUAGCCCACGCCCAGGAUUGUUUUUUUACCAAUUCCAAAAUGCUUUCAUGAUUGAAAAGGCC
RNAcentral lists this long non-coding RNA (360 nucleotides) under Lotus japonicus. Its description in RNAcentral is "long non-coding RNA (LJAP_LNC001117)". Lineage: Eukaryota; Viridiplantae; Streptophyta; Magnoliopsida; Fabales; Fabaceae. The record is from RNAcentral.